This 195-nucleotide small RNA is filed under the name Sordaria macrospora k-hell. RNAcentral describes it as "A. fumigatus sRNA Afu_182". It matches the Rfam family "A. fumigatus sRNA Afu_182". Lineage: Eukaryota; Fungi; Ascomycota; Sordariomycetes; Sordariales; Sordariaceae. The record is from Rfam by way of RNAcentral.
AUUUUUACAACGCAUUAUAUCACAUUCUCGGAACUCAACUUGGAUGCGAGGUCCCCGGCUUCGGCCGGAGCUGACCCAGGACCAAUUCAUCGAUUUCGAACAGAAUGGAGAAAAGACAAUAGUGAACAAUCUUGGGUGCGGUGCUUUCCUUGCCUUUGGCAACAAUGGAAAGGGUCGCAAUGAUUGGGCGUACAU